CUCCAGCAGGCAGUGGACGAGCUGUGGAGCUGCUUGGAAAAUUUUCCACUUCAGUGAGAUUCGGAGGGAAGGUUGAAUAUAUUUGGCAUGAAAUCCCCCCAGUAUUCCUCCUCCUCCUCCUCCUCUCUUUUUCCUCCCCACAACCACUCCUCCAACCUUCCUCCCAUAGUGGGCAUGACUUUGCCUGUAUUUCUGUUCUGCCUUGCAUGUGCUCUUACUGCAGAAAAAAGCACCCUCCUUUUUGCCUCCUAAUCCCCAAGCUGUAUCACAUCAUGCUGUUCUGCACCCAAAUACUCUUGUGUCUGUCCUGCCCAGAGCUGAAUCCACUCUCUGAAUCCAGAGUGCAUUGGGCUGCGGCCAGCUAGGUCUGCAGUACAGUAAAUAUUGCUGUUGUAUCCUCCAAAGGGAGGAUGCUGGGCUGCAGACAGCUGCUUCAUUGCCAGACAAGACUCAGGGGCCUAGAUCCCCCCUUUUUCACUCUCUUUCUUAAAAAAAAAAGAGAGAGAGAGAGAGAGAAGACAUCUGCAGAAGCACGAUAAUGACCUUGGAUUGAGCUCUGCUAACAAGAUACACGACAAAAAGUUUUGUCAUGCAAUGUGACUUGAAUUGUUUCUGAUAAAAGAGGGUGCAAUGAUGUCUGCUGGAAUACCUCUGCUCUGGGGUGGCCGGCAUGGUGCCCUUGCAAUGUUGUCAGACUCCCAAUUCCCAUCAGCCCUAGCCAGUGUGGCCAGUGGUCAGGCAUGAUAGGAAUUAAAGUCCAGUAUCAUCUGUAAGGUACCAUGUUGGCUAGGGACGCGGGUGGCGCUGUGGGUUAAACCACAGAGCCUAGGACUUGCCGAUCAGAAGGUCAGCAGUUCGAAUCCCCGCGAUGUGGUGAGCUCCUGUUGCUUGGUCCCUGCUCCUGCCAACCUAGCAGUUCGAAAGCAUGUCAAAUUGCAUGUAGAUAAAUAGGUACCGCUCCAGCGGGAAGGUAAACGGUGUUUCCGUGUGCUGCUCUGGUUCGCCAGAGGCGGCUUAGUCAUGCUGGCCACAUGACCUGUACGCCGGCUCCCUCGGCCAAUAAAUCGAGAUGAGCGCCGCAACCCCAGAGUCGGUCACGACUGGAUCUAACGGUCAGGGGUCCCUUUACCUUUACCAUGUUGGCUACUUGCCACAGUGAUGCACAGCACAGUAAUAAGAGCAUAAGAAGAGUCCUGUUUGGUCAGACCAAAGGCUUUUUUGGGUUAGCAUUAUUGUUCCUGAAGGUGGCCAACCAGAUGCCUCCAGGAACAUGGGUGUGGAGACAACAACCUUCUCCUGGUGGUUAUUUGGUGGGGAGUGGUCCACUACCUCUGAACAAGGAGCUUCUUCUUAGCCAUCUGAAUUUGUGUUCCAUGAAUUUGUCUCAUUUCCCUUUAAAGCCAUCUAAAGCAGCAGCCCUACGAUGCAGCCAUGGCACGCAAAUUGGGCAGAGCCUUUCAACAGAAUCCGUGAUUGCCCAAUUAUUAUUCACUACUAGCUGGCAGAUUCAGCUACUUUGGGGCACACACCUGUCCCUUUUUAUUGGGACACCUUAUUGGGCUGUGCACCCAUCCUCUGAGCGCCACUAGCAGCAUGAUUCUGAGCACAGAACUUGAGUCACUUUGAUGCCAAGUUUUAAAUACAUUUUUGCAUAGGAAUAUAUUCCUGUUUAUCACCUGACACUUUUAUUGCCCAGACCAUUAGGGAAGUUGGAAUAAAAGCCAGUAUCUUACCCAAGGCUAGCCAGUGAGAGCAUAUAUUAUAGAGCAGAGGCACAAACUGGUUUUAAUAGUCAUUCUUCUUCAUAGGAAGACCUAUGUUGUGUGUGGGCGGGGGAGCAUUCUUUGUAUCUUCAUCAAACUACAGUUUCCAGGGUUCUUUGGGGAUAGGUCAUUGAAUCAAUUAUAAAAACCGUGUAAAACUGUAAUCCUGUACAGUUCCCUUACCUGGGAGUAAGUCCUGUUUAAGUCAUCGGUGCUUCUUUCUAAGUAUAUAUGUGCAGGACUGCAUUAUAAGUAAUGUCUUCUUUCUUCUUUGGCGAUCACGCAUAGCCAAGUACAUUGUCUUAUGAACACGGUCUUAACUGUAAGUGACUUUGGAGGCCAAUUCUGGAUCCGCACAUCCUUCCACAGUGGGGUCAUAGGUUUCUCAGCAGGAGUUGAUCAUGGUGAGGAUUUGCCAAAUGUGCCUUCCUCUUAGCUUGUUUCUCUCCCUUUCAUCCUGAGUUUGUGCUUCUUCAAAGUCCAUGACGCCUUUAGUAGAGGCUAUUCUCCAAAUGGAGUGCUCGCAGGCCAGUGUUUCCCAGUUGUCAGUGUUUAUGCUACAAUUUUUUAAAGAUUUGCCUUGAGAGAGUCUUUAAACCUCUUUUGUUGCCCACUGGCAUUACGCUUUCCAUUCUUAAGUUGGGAAUAGAAUAGUUGCUUUGGAAGAUGCUAUGUCUUCCAAAUAAGUAAUGUAGGCCUAUACUCUAAUCUUCACAGUCAAUAGGGGACUUGAACCUAGAUCGCCUGUGUACAAACUGCAUCAUACUGAACCUUUUCCACAUUUUGUUGUAGUUAUAUGAAAGGCUCUGAAAUUGGGCCCCAAUCUUAGUCUCUCCCCAAAAAUCUAUAUAAGACAUUGGGCUAACUUUGUUUUGAGCUUUCCAAUGUUCAUUUUAGCAAGGUAAAUGUGGACCCUUGCUUGUUUUGCCAUUAGACUAGGGGCAGCCAAUGAUGGUGCUGUCCAUAUACUUGAGACCACAGCACCUACCAUAUCUGACAAUUUAAGCUAAUGGGAGCUGUAGUGCAAAUCAUCUGGAGGGUAUCAUCUUAGCUACCCUGCAUUAGACAGCCACAGGUGCCCAGUUGCUACCAUAUGUGUUGAAUAUUAUGCUACCCUUUGAUUCAGUCUGUUACGUAGUGAGAGGUUUUUACCCCUUACUCCAUUUUCCAAUUAGAUAAUACAUUAGUUCAGCCGUACCCAACCUGGCUGAGGCUGAUGGAGUUGCAGGUGGAAACAUCUGGAGGGCACCAGGUUGGGGAAGGUUGCAGCAGUUCCAACAAAGAGCAUUGCUGGCAUUUUGUAGAACCUGCAUUAUAUAAUUACCCCUCAGUUAUUGUUCCAAAAUAUGCAAACUUGUUUCCGUGUGGUUUUGGAGGUUUUCUUUCCAGUUUUUUCUUUCUGUCAUAAGAAUGAGAGAAGUUAAUUUGUUCAUCUCUCUUAUAUCCCAUGACCUCUUGAGCCGAUCCAUAGAGUCAGGGAUUUGUAGCUUUGCCAAUGCUAUUCUGGCAGCAAUUAAUAAGUUUCCAACCAAGUGUCUGUCUUGCAGUUUAAGCCCUAGAUUUUGAAAGCUAGAGCUGUACCAGACUUCCAGCAGUUUCAAUGUUGGGGGUGAGAUUAGUGAUUGGGGUAGGGUAACCCCCCAACCUGCCGAAACAACUUUACCAUGUACAAAUAUUUGCCUGGCCACCACUGAACACAGUUUGGUACCAUUAUUUCUGUUGUCAGUUUCCUCCUUUCUUGACAAAUCUCAUGCAGCGGACAAAAGAUGUCAUAACUCAUGAGGCGAUCACAUAAUCAAUGAGAUAAUUCAGGUAAACAUCGCUGAUUAGAUUUGGCUGCAUGGUAACAACACUAAGAACAAUUGUGAAUGAGAGUGAUUUUAAACAAAUAAGCAAAUGUUUUCUCAAGAUCUUGCUUUUUAAAAAAAUGCAGAAAAGGAGACCUGUCUCCCAGUGCUCUUUGUGAUGCCUUAAUACAGGGAUGGGGAACCAUUGGCCCUCCAGAUGUUGUUGGGUUCCAAUUCAGCAUGGCCAAUAGGGAUGCUGUAGCACAACAACAUCUGGAGGGCCAUAGGAACCCCAUCCCUGCCUUGAUGUCUUGUGUCCAGAUUUCACCAACUUUUUUCAGAGCAGUCACUACAGCAAAGCCAUUUCAAGGCACAUCCAUCUGUUGUUGCAACACACAUGCCUGCCUUUUAGUGCAGGGAGAGGGACCCCAGGCCUGGGCGCCAACAGUGGCCCUCCAUGCCUCCCUAAUUGCCCCUCUGGACUCUUUCCCAAGCAACACACCCUCCAGAGGUAUACCCUUCACCAGCCCUUAUUCACCCCCUACCACCAAUCCUUGAGUGUUUUGGCCUGGCUAGAACAUUUCCUUGAACUCUGCUCAUGCUUAUUUCUUGCCUGGGUAGAGGAUAGAGCUUUGUAAGUUUAAAGAAAUUAUUGGCCUACUGUACAGAGGAGAAUGUCACAUUCUUUGCUUAGCCCACAUGGGGCCCUUCAAAUGUUUUCCUGAAGGGAAUGUGGCCCUCAGGCUUAAAAAAGCUCCCCCACUUUAGUGUCUGGAAGAAAAACAUAGGUGCCUUGCCUGAAGCCAGAGAUGUGCAUAUAUGGCUGCAAGCGGGCCAUCAGAACAAAAAUGGGAUGCGAGACCAGGGAGAAGAGUUGGUGGAAGAAGACUGGAAAAAGUUUAAAGACUAUUUACAGAAAUACUGUAAAAUUAAUGAAUGUUAGAAAAAUGUUGGGAUGAAGUUAUAUGGCUUUAGUAGAAAUGUUAUAAGGAAUUAAGUAUAAAUAGAUUAAUAGAGUAUUAAAAGGAAAAAUAAGGUUAGAAUGUGUUAAGAUAAUUAUAGGAUAGAAAGCAGAGGAAGAUGGAAAGGAAUUGCUGAAACAAUUAAUAGAAGUGGAAUACAAAAAGGGAGGUGUGAGGAGGUCAUUGAAAUAAGUGAAUGAAAGAUAAGAUAUUGAAAUUGUUUGUGUGUUUUAAACUGUUUUUGUUUUGUCUUGUUAGUUUAAUGUGUUAGUGUUAUGUAGUGUUUUUGUAUUGUAUUGUAUUGUAUUGUAUUGUAUUGUUCAUUCUUUUUUUGUAGUGUUUAAAUUGUUGGAAAAGUAAUAAAUAUUAUUUUCAAAAAAAAAGAAAGAACAAAAAUGGGAUGGUGCAAGGUAUUUUGAAUUCCUAAGAUGGAAAAAUCCAAAUCCAUUUCCUUACUUUAUCCUAACUGCUGAAUUCUGUUGGAGUGGUUGGUUUCCAUUGCAGAUUCUUUGAGUACCGUAUUCUGUUGCUCCUUGCCCCUACAUCCAUCACAGCUCUGGCCCACCUGCUUUUUUUAAUUAUAAGAGCAUAAGAAAGGCCUGCUGAAUCAUGCCAUAGGCUCAUCUAGUCCAGCACCCUGUUCUCACAGUGGCCAACCGAGUGCCUGUGGAGGAACCCCGCAAGCAGAGUUAUGGGUUUCCCCCUUGCAGUAAUGGUGGAAGCAUUCCGGGAAUCCACCUUCAGAUACCAAUCUAAGCUAUCCCUUCUCUGUCUCUCUUU
Molecule: non-coding RNA, 5292 nt
Organism: Podarcis lilfordi (Lilford's wall lizard)
Lineage: Eukaryota; Metazoa; Chordata; Lepidosauria; Squamata; Lacertidae
Source: the annotation of a GenBank genome assembly